This 401-nucleotide ribosomal RNA is filed under the name uncultured bacterium. RNAcentral describes it as "bacterial SSU rRNA". It matches the Rfam family "Bacterial small subunit ribosomal RNA", at positions 356 to 774 of the family's 1533-position model. The record is from RNAcentral.
GGGGAAUCUUGCACAAUGGGGGAAACCCUGAUGCAGCGACGCCGCGUGAACGAUGAAGCCCUUCGGGGUGUAAAGUUCUUUCGACAGGAACGAUAAUGACGGUACCUGGAGAAGAAGCUGCGGCUAACUACGUGCCAGCAGCCGCGGUAAUACGUAGGCAGUGAGCGUUGUUCGGAGUUACUGGGCGUAAAGAGUGCGUAGGCGGCGAGCCAAGUUUGGUGUGAAAUCUCCCGGCUUAACCGGGAGGGUGCGCCGAAAACUGGUUGGCUGGAGUAUGGGAGAGGAAAGCGGAAUUCCUGGUGUAGCGGUGAAAUGCGUAGAUAUCAGGAGGAACACCUGCGGUGUAGACAGCUUUCUGGACCAAAACUGACGCUGAGGCACGAAAGCGUGGGUAGCAAACA